GAUGAACGCUAGCUACAGGCUUAACACAUGCAAGUCGAGGGCAGCAUUAGGUAGCAAUACUGAGGUGGCGACCGGCGCACGGGUGCGUAACGCGUAUCCAACCUUCCCGAUACUCUUGGAUAGCCUUCCGAAAGGGAGAUUAAUACAAGAUGGUGUUUCACUUUCGCAUGUUAUUGAAACUAAAGAUUUAUCGGUAACGGAUGGGGAUGCGUGACAUUAGAUAGUAGGCGGGGUAACGGCCCACCUAGUCUACGAUGUCUAGGGGUUCUGAGAGGAAGGUCCCCCACACUGGAACUGAGACACGGUCCAGACUCCUACGGGAGGCAGCAGUGAGGAAUAUUGGUCAAUGGUCGGAAGACUGAACCAGCCAAGUAGCGUGAAGGAUGAAGGUUCUAUGGAUUGUAAACUUCUUUUAUACGGGAAUAAAACCUCCCACGUGUGGGAGCUUGUAUGUACCGUAUGAAUAAGCAUCGGCUAACUCCGUG
RNAcentral lists this ribosomal RNA (485 nucleotides) under uncultured bacterium. RNAcentral's name for it is "bacterial SSU rRNA". It matches the Rfam family "Bacterial small subunit ribosomal RNA", at positions 28 to 507 of the family's 1533-position model. The record is from RNAcentral.